Molecule: ribosomal RNA, 440 nt
Filed under: uncultured bacterium
Lineage: Bacteria
Description: partial 16S ribosomal RNA
Rfam family: Bacterial small subunit ribosomal RNA
Source: RNAcentral
CCUACGUGUGGCAGCAGUGGGGAAUAUUGCACAAUGGGGGAAACCCUGAUGCAGCGACGCCGCGUGAGUGAAGAAGUAUUUCGGUACGUAAAGCUCUAUCAGCAGGGAAGAAAAUGACGGUACCUGACCAAGAAGCCCCGGCUAACUACGUGCCAGCAGCCGCGGUAAUACGUAGGGGGCAAGCGUUAUCCGGAUUUACUGGGUGUAAAGGGAGCGUAGACGGCAGCGCAAGUCUGGAGUGAAAUGCCGGGGCCCAACCCCGGAACUGCUUUGGAAACUGUGCAGCUGGAGUGCAGGAGAGGUAAGCGGAAUUCCUAGUGUAGCGGUGAAAUGCGUAGAUAUUAGGAGGAACACCGGCGGCGAAGGCGGCCUGCUGGACCGCGACUGACGUUGAGGCUCGAAAGCGUGGGGAGCGAACAGGAUUAGAUACCCCUGUAGUC